Molecule: long non-coding RNA, 34457 nt
Filed under: Triticum aestivum (bread wheat)
Lineage: Eukaryota; Viridiplantae; Streptophyta; Magnoliopsida; Poales; Poaceae
Description: long non-coding RNA (TAES_LNC021621)
Source: RNAcentral
UCCACUCGUCUGGCCCUUCGCUGUUUGGGGGCUGGACAUGGUUGGACCACUGAAAACGGGCAGGAGCGGCUUCACUCAUGUGCUAGUAGCAGUCGACAAGUUCACCAAAUGGAUUGAAGCUAAGCCUAUCAAGAAUCUUGAUGCUUGCACCGCUAUCAGUUUCAUCAGAGAGUUGAUAUUCAGAUAUGGAGUUCCGCACAGCAUCAUCACUGACAAUGGGUCAAACUUCCAUUCUGACAAAUUCAGGGCCUUUUGUGCCUCUCAGGGCACACGAGUCGACUAUGCUUCGGUCGCUCACCCUCAGUCAAAUGGACAGGCGGAAAGAGCAAACGGCCUAAUUCUCAAAGGACUAAAACCUCGAUUGAUGCACGAUCUCAAGCACGCAGCAGGUGCAUGGGUCGACGAGCUUCCAUCAGUUCUUUGGGGAUUGAGGACGACCUCGAAUCGAUCGACUGGAAGAACCCCAUUCUUUCUGGUCUACGGAGCCGAAGUAGUCCUGCUGAGUGACAUACUUAACAACGCCCCUCGAGUCGAGCUCUACUCUAAAGAAGAAGCAGAACAAGCCCGGCAGGACGGAGUCGACCUCCUGGAAGAAGAAAGAGAAAUGGCCAUGAUCCGAUUGACCAUCUAUCAGCAAGACUUGCGUCGAUUCCAUGCCAGAAAUGUGAAGAGUCGAGCCUUCCUAGAAGGAGACUUAGUCCUCCACGUGGAUCAGCAAAAACCACACAAACUCGCUCCUACUUGGGAAGGCCCCUUCAUAGUCACCAGAGUCCUCCACAAUGGAGCGUACCACCUCUACAAUGUCAAUCGCCAGAUUGAUGAGCCACGAGCCUGGAAUGCGGAGCUACUCCGCCCCUUUUAUACUUGAAUUCUCACUUGGAUGAGAUGUAAUAAGAAAAAAAACUCAUGUAGUUUAUUUAUCAAAGACAAGAGCGUUAUAAUUUUCCCAGUGAUUGUUAUUGUUUUUGUUUGCGUAAGAAAUUCCCCAGUGGGUGGCUUAGCUACGAAUCCGCUUCGCCUAAGUUUGUAAAAAUAAUUUCCUACCGAGUGGUGAACCAGCCUCCCACUCGGGGGCUUAGCUGCGAACCCGUUUCACCUAAGUAUUUAAAAAUCCUACCGAGUGGAGAGAAAUCCUCCCACUCGGGGGCUUAGCUGCAGUCCAGUACUCGCCUAAGUUCUCUCACUCGGAGACUUAGCUGCAGUCUGGCACUCGCCUAAGUUUGAAAAAUCCUACCGAGUGGAGAGCAAACCUCCCACUCGGGGGCUUAGAUGCAGUCCAGUACUCACCUAAGUUUUCUCACUCGGAGACUUAGCUGCAGUCUGGCACUCGCCUAAGUUUGAAAAAAUCCUACCGAGUGGAGAGCAACCCUCCCACUCGGGGGCUUAGCUGCAGUCCAGUACNNNNNNNNNNNNNNNNNNNNNNNNNNNNNNNNNNNNNNNNNNNNNNNNNNNNNNNNNNNNNNNNNNNNNNNNNNNNNNNNNNNNNNNNNNNNNNNNNNNNNNNNNNNNNNNNNNNNNNNNNNNNNNNNNNNNNNNNNNNNNNNNNNNNNNNNNNNNNNNNNNNNNNNNNNNNNNNNNNNNNNNNNNNNNNNNNNNNNNNNNNNNNNNNNNNNNNNNNNNNNNNNNNNNNNNNNNNNNNNNNNNNNNNNNNNNNNNNNNNNNNNNNNNNNNNNNNNNNNNNNNNNNNNNNNNNNNNNNNNNNNNNNNNNNNNNNNNNNNNNNNNNNNNNNNNNNNNNNNNNNNNNNNNNNNNNNNNNNNNNNNNNNNNNNNNNNNNNNNNNNNNNNNNNNNNNNNNNNNNNNNNNNNNNNNNNNNNNNNNNNNNNNNNNNNNNNNNNNNNNNNNNNNNNNNNNNNNNNNNNNNNNNNNNNNNNNNNNNNNNNNNNNNNNNNNNNNNNNNNNNNNNNNNNNNNNNNNNNNNNNNNNNNNNNNNNNNNNNNNNNNNNNNNNNNNNNNNNNNNNNNNNNNNNNNNNNNNNNNNNNNNNNNNNNNNNNNNNNNNNNNNNNNNNNNNNNNNNNNNNNNNNNNNNNNNNNNNNNNNNNNNNNNNNNNNNNNNNNNNNNNNNNNNNNNNNNNNNNNNNNNNNNNNNNNNNNNNNNNNNNNNNNNNNNNNNNNNNNNNNNNNNNNNNNNNNNNNNNNNNNNNNNNNNNNNNNNNNNNNNNNNNNNNNNNNNNNNNNNNNNNNNNNNNNNNNNNNNNNNNNNNNNNNNNNNNNNNNNNNNNUUCUCUCACUUGGAGACUUAGCUGCAGUCCGGCACUCGCCUAAGUUUGAAAAAUCCUACCGAGUGGAGAGCAAACCUCCCACUCGGGGGCCUAGCUGCAGUCCAGUACUCGCCUAAGUACGAAACACAUCUCAAUCCACAAGGACGACGAGGUGCAGGUCGACUGCCGCCUUCUCCUUAGGAGCUUCGCCACAAAUACAACAUGCACUUCCUCCCACUCCGCAAGGGCGAUGAGGUGCGGGCCGACUGCCACCUUCUCCUGGAGAGCUUCGCCACAAAUACAAUGUGCGCUCCAUCCCGCUCUGCAGUAACGAGGUGCAGGUCGACUGCUGCCUUCCUCUGGAGAGCUUCGCCACAAAUACAACAUGCGCUCCAUCCCACUCCGCAAGGACGACGAGGUGCAGGACUACUGCCACCUUCUCUUGAGGAGAUUCGCCGACCCUCAAGGGCAACGAGGCGUAGGUCAACUGCUUCCUUCUCCUUCAGAGCUGCGCUACAAAUACAAAAAUUGUCUCGAAUGAAGCAUGAGUUCACUUGGCAGGGGAUUCAUGAAGAUAUUCAAUGAUAAACCAAGUUCAGAUAAAUCCUAAAGGUUCCGGACCACAGAUCGAAGUGCUCGGGCAUUCAGCCCGAAAGAGUUUAACGGUUACAAAAACCACUCAGCAUUCUGAGGCAAAUUUAAGGUGAGGCAUAAAAGUUUGUUCACUCUGCGAGAGGAGGACUAGCAGGCUCGACGAACUCGUCUAAGUCGAUGCUGUCGGCGAUCCGAGUGGCUGCAGCGAUGAAAGUCUCCAUAAAAGAUCAGAAGUCAUGCUUCUGGGUGCUGGCGACCUUGAUUGCUGCCAGCUUAUCUUGUCACACCUCCUUGCAAUGGACGCGAACCAAAGACAGAGCCACAUCAGCGCCACACCGGGCAGAAGACUUCUUCCACUCCUGCACUCGGUCAGGGAUUUCGUUAAGUCGAGUCAUCAGGGACUCAAGAUCAUUUUGGAGCGUGGCCUCUGGCCAAAGUGCCGGGUCGAUCCGUGACAUGGCGACCUUCAGUCGAGCCAAGUAGUCCACGACACCGUCGAUGCGGGAUUCCAGUCGGAGCAGAUUCAUGGCAGUUUCAUCUUUCACGGGAGAAUUGAUUGGAUCCAAACCUGGUUCAAUCCGCCCAAUCUCCUCCUCAAAGUCCUGGCAAAACUCUGCAUUCACGAUCCAAGGAUAAGUCAAUUUUCAUACGCUGAGUCGACACAAAAAAAAUCAGUCGGAACAAAAUGUGCACCUUCAAGCUUGAGGAACAACUUCUUGGCAAGGCUCCUCAGAUAGCUCUCCAGAUCGUCCCUCCUGCGAGCGAUGCCUUCCAUCUUCUCGCACAGGUUGAGGUUCUCCUUCUUCCAGCGCGAGCACUCCUUGUUGGCUUCGUUCAGAGCAGAUUUCAGCUUGGUAUUCUCUUCUUCCAACUGGCCGACCGAAGCCAGUUUCUGUUCAGCCAGAGCGGUCGUGUCGUCAGCCUCCUUUCGAGUAGCAGCCAAAUCCUGAUCCUUCUUCACCAGAGCUUCUCUUAGUUUUUCUACAAAGAAAUGAUGAUUGAUUCAGAAAGAGCAGAAGGGUACUCAAGCCCAAGACAGACCAGUCGACAAACUCGUCUUACCGGUGGCGCCGUCCUUGACCUUUUGCAGCUCUGUCUUGGCAGGCUCCAAGUCAAGGUUCAGUUGAAUCUUCUAUUUCUCCAAGUCAGCAAAGCGAGCUCCAAGAUCACAAGAUUUCUGAAAUCAAAGGGGAGAAGUUAUUUUAAAGCAAAAAACGACAAAGACAAUAAGUACUAACACUACGAUCGACUGCCCGCAGUCCACCAUAGUCUCGGGGACUACACCCAGUGGGUGCACUUUGCGUUCCCCCACUGGUUCUGAUCCCACUCGACCGGCCCGCCGGAGUCGAGUGCAGGGAGUAAAAAAAGUGGAGAGAAAGUAGAACUCAGACCACAGUUGACUGCCAGCAGUAGACCGUGGUCUCGGGGACUACACCCAGUGGGUGCACUUGGCGUGCCCCCGCCGGUUCUGAUCCCACUCGACCGGAUCGAGUGGAAGAGACAAACUACCAGUUUGGUUUACACUCGAAAAAAUACAAAGACUACAGUCGACUACCAGCAGUCCACCGUAGUCUCGGGGACUACACCCACUGGAUGCACUUGGCGUGCCCCCACUAGUUCAAAAAUUCAAUCGGCGCACCUAGUGGGUGUACAGAUGCAAAGAUUUUUGGAAAGAGUCUUCAAAUAGCAUAUCCUAACAGAACAAGCGGCAACCAACUAACCUGAAUGUUGCUCUGGAGAGCCGAGCUGGCAUCGUAGGCGGCCUGGCUAGCGUCCCGCACCGUCUUCACCUUCUCCAUCAUAAUGCCCGCCCGGCGUAUGGCUUCCUUGGCAGCAUUCACUUCAUCCUCUGGGACAUGAUGGGUCGCAAAAACUGAAGGCAGUUCGACAGGGGCCCGAGCAGUCGACGAGGAAGGUAAGGCACUCGACAAUGGCACGGCGAAGGUAACAGAACCCCGAUUGGCAUCACCAGCGUCCUGAACGACUGGCUCCGCCCUUGGCGUCGAUUGUGGCACCUCGCUUGCAGGAGCUUGCCUAUUUUUCCUUGUCAAAGGCCUCUCGGGCUCUUCAUCAUCAUCAUCAGGGAGGUCAAUAAUGUUAGGAGCUGUUCAAAGUUCAAUCAACAAAAUCGCAUCACCCAAUGGUACACAUUGCAGUUGAAUCGACCAAAAUAAAGACAGAAUGGCAGAAAUCAUACCCAGAUUAGAAGUGACCGCAUCCUCCAUCACCUCAUCAUCGCCCCUGUAAGCUGAGGUCCCGGAAGUAGCAGCGCUGCCAGCUCCAAAGUUUGUCCGGUUAAAACAAGAAAAACAAACAUCACAGGGCGUCGAGUGAAGAUAAAAGGAGACACUCACGCAGAAGCGAUGGGGAUGUCAAUCUUAAUCUUCGGCGAUGCCUUCCGAAGCUUCGGCUCUGCGACUUUGGGGUGCUUUGACGCUUUUUCAGUCGAAGUUGGCGAAGAGGUCCGAGGACGCUUUGAAGACUGGCCAGCUUGAGCAAUCUCCUUUUCACGGGCGCUCGGUCGUUCUUGGUCAAGUUUGGACCGGCUCUCCCUGCAAGGAGGUGACUCGACUUCUUCUUCGUCACUUGGAUCAUCGCUUUCUUCGUCCCCUCCACCGUCAGAAUCCCAUUCGCCACUGUCGCUGCCGCUCGCCUCUCCUUCCGGGUCCUGCUCUUGCUCUCCGUUGGGCAUUGAAUACAUUUCAAUAAUGGCCUGAAAGAAAGCAGGGAGAACAAAGUCAAUCGACUCAGUAUAGGCGGUUGUGCGAGUGAAUUCAGAUUACAAACAAAAGCUCAGAAUCGGACCUUCUCUGGUACAUGAGACUAGUCGAAUGGAGGAACUCUCCUGGCUCCCCUGGGGUUGUCCUUGUUUCCGGUCAUGCCCGACAGCCACUUCUCUAGUGUGUCGUCAUCGACCUCCUCCGGGUGAAUCCGAGUGGAGUCUUCAAGACCCGAAUACAUCCAUGUCGGAUGGUCUUGGGCUUGAAGAGGCUGGAUGCGUCGCUGAAGGAAGACCUCCAAGAGAUCCAUAUCGGUGACCCCGUCACGGAUAAGCUGGACCACUCGCUCUACCAGCACCCUCACCUGUGCCUUCUCCUCCAGGAGCACCUUCAAAGGGGAGGGUUUUCUCACUCGGUCCAUGGUGAAAGGAGGGAGGCCAGUCGACUGGCCUGGUGUCGACUGGUCUUUGCAGUAAAACCAGGUCGACUGCCAUCCGUGAACUGAGUCGGGAAGAAUCAUGGCCGGAAAGGAACUUUUCCCUCUCAUCUGAACACCAAGACCCCCACACAUCUGAAUCACUUGAGUCCUUUCGUCACUCGGAUUGGCCUUUUUCACCAUCUGGGAGCGACAAGUGAAAAUGUGCUUGAAAAGGCCCCAGUGAGGCCGACAACCAAGGAAAUUCUCACACAAAAAAAUGAAAGCGGCGAGAUAAACGAUCGUGUUGGGAGUGAAGUGGUGGAGUUGUGCCCCAAAGAAGUUCAGAAAUCCCCGAAAGAAAGGGUGAGGAGGCAAGGAAAAUCCACGGUUGACGUGGGUGGCAAGGAGAACGCGCUCACCCUCCCGAGGUUGCGGCUCGGAUUCCUUCCCUGGAAGCCACGCCGAUUCAUAGGGGAUCAGCCCUCCUUCGGCUAGGUCAUCGAGGUCUUCUUGGGUGAUUAUUGAGCGGAUCCAGUCGCCCUCGAUCCAUCCCUUCGGCAGGCCGGUUCGCGAGGAGGAUCCGCCCUGACUGGUCGCCUUCCCCUUCGACCUCGCCAUCGCCUUCUUUGCCCGCUCCAGAGCCGCCGUCUUCUCCUUCCCCAUCGUCGCCGGCGAGCGCGGCGAGGGAGUGUGAAGAGGAGAAGAGAUAAUGGGGACGCACUGUUCGAGAGACCUCGGUCCGACGCCUUAUAUGAGGCCGCUUCCGAGUGGCUGACUAGUAGGCCCGGGCGGCCCUGUAAAAUCCCGUAACAAUCGCACGUGCGAUACGUGGCGAAAAAGGUGGCGCGGGGAUCGAGGCGGAUCCGCUCUAUCCCAUCCGAUUACUGCGGCCUCCCAUGUCCUGCGCGCUUCCCAAAAUUCAGAUCCCGCUAAAUCUACGGGCAGCAGAACAACUUGUCAAACCGAAGAUCUCCUCCGCACAGUCGCUCGAAGCCUUUCAAGUAAAGAAACUCACUCGACAAAAAAACUAAGAAUGGAUCAAGGUGACUGAAAAAAGGAAGUUGCUGUCAUCACUCGGGUUCAUUGAUCCGAAACCAGAUAUGCUCAUGGCAUGAAAAAUGAAUCGGGGAAAUUCUCAACUCCUUUCCCACUCAAACCUCGAUCCAUUCGGGGGCUAAUGAUGAAGCUAUGUACCUAGGGUAGGGUCAUGGACCUGUCCAAACUGCCCUACCCAAGGACAUCUCUAGAAGAAAUCACCUUUCAAUCGUCUUGGAAGUGUUCCACUCGACAAACUCGGAGACACUCGACCAAGAAGCGAUCACUCGACUAAGACCAAACCACUCGACGGCCAGGAGACCUAAAGGCACUCCGCACGCUAACGGUCGGUUAUUAAGUAGCUUUUAUGAUCAUCAUAGCACUUUAUUAAGGGCGUUACCAGUAACGCCUGACCUUAAUGUAUUUAGAACCCUGCAUAAUUGAGGGCCGGAGGGGUCCGGCGAACUCUAUAUAAGCCACCCCCCUCCUCAGUGUAAAGGGUUCGCACCCCUGUAAACCAUACACGCAUAAUCCAGUCAACCGCCUCCGGGCUCCGAGACGUUGAGCUAUUACUUCCUCCGAGAAGGGCCUGAACUCGUAAACCUCGUGUGCUUACAACUUCUCCAUAGCUAAGAUCUUGCCUCUCCAUACUUACCCCCCCCACACACACAUUACUGUCAGACUUAGAACCACGACAGGGGGCACCGCGCCUACCCUGCCAUAGCGCUCAUGCAUCGCCUUGCAUUCGUGCAUUCUUCAAAGGUUGCCAUGUUCCACCAGGUUUGACAGGUGUGAGUGAAUUUCAAUUUAUGUGUGUUGUUUUUGCUAUAUUUUCAAAGCUAUUUGGGAUUGCACAAAAUGUGAUGUUGGUCAGUUACAUAUACUCUGUGUCAAGUUCUCCCCUCUUCUUCCUCUAGCAGUAACGCAGUACAAUCCUGGAGCAAUGCUUCUCCGGUAGUUCGCCCCUUGAUCUUCAACUUUGUUGCAUAUUUCCCUUCCCCACUACAAUCCCUUCGCACUCAAUGUUUGUAUUGAUGCUAAUUUCUGCUCUUAAUUUCUUGCGGUUAUUAACGCCAAAGUGCUCGGGACUGGUUUUGGCUUGUUUAGCAAAUUUCUAGGGGUGUUUCUGGAGUUUUUUUGUUCCUGAAUUCUGAAACCCGGGAUCCCAAUGGCUGCUGGCAGGUUAGUUAAGUGGAAUGUCAUAAUACAUAACCCUAGCAGCACACCCUUCCUUUCCCAAUCUCGGCUUAACUAGCCGCACCAGUGAAGGCAGAACGAGCAGCUGGGCAGCGGCAAUGGUGAAUCAUCCUCCUCCCAGCGGCGUUGAUCAUCGCCAUGGCGACCUCGCGCACUCCCUUCCUGACCUUGACCUCAAAGAAUGGCUUCCCCUACAUCGCUUUCCCGUUCAUGUAUGAUUUCCUUCUUCCAUCAAAAAUCACCCUUGAUGUCAUCUCGAUCCAAAUUUUGCACAGGUGUUGCUAUAUUGGAUGCGGUAAAUUGAUUUGGUCAGACCUUGGAGAUAGGGAGGGGGAGAGGUUGUGGCGGCGAGCAAACACAACGGACGGAGGUUACUCGAGUAUGUUUUUAAGUUAUCCCUAUACCAGAUCAGUUACAUGAGAUCGAAGAGAACCUUGCAGAUUCAUAUUCAUCACUCCAAAAGUUGUACCUUACUUGAAUAUUGAUUCUUAGUUUUUCAUGUGCAAGGCAUGGUGCUCUCCGCUGGUUCUACACUUCUACUUCUACUCCCUGGUUGAACAAGCUCCUAAUCCAUGUUACAAGACAGGUAGAAUUGUUUUUUUACCUGACAGGUAGUACCGAUUUUUUCUUGCCUUCUUCUCAGUUUAUUAUUUUUGGACAAGCACAUCAGUUCAGGAUUCGUGCAGUAAAAAUUUAGUGUCUCUUGAACUACAUGGUCCUGUUAUAAAGCUAACCUUUAUUAGCACCAGAUCACUUGCAUACGAUUGAAACUACUAUCGUUAGCAAAUAUUAUUAGGUAUCAUUGUCAUGCAGUAUGAAACAAUUGGAACGAACAUAUGAGGUUAACUACAUUUCCAAUAUGUUGCUUAUACUGAUCAAAAAUACGGACACACUAAAUGGCAUUUGCUGCUAAUCGUGCGAGUGUCAGUAUGACAUAUUUUAUGCUUCACUAGGUAUCUCUCAGCUAUGUACAAUCAGAUAAAUCUCCCUAAAAGAAGCAAAAUCACAUGAUUAUGUCGGUACUAAUUUACUUAUUUUAAUAGUCUGCCUAUCUUAAGGCAAGUAUCUAAUUUUACUCCACCAAUAGCGUGCACAUAGGUAUAGGGGCACUUACACAUGCACAUGCAUACACUGAGACUCAAUUACAUUAGAAUUGGUCUACAUUUUAUUUGCCUAGCUUCAAGCCUUCAAAGAUGUGGCGAAGACAGGUAGUAAUAGCGAUUGACAAUUUUCAAUUAUCGUGAUAUUAGGUAAGUAUCAAGGGUGAGGUGUAUUUGGUACUAGGUUUCUGCCCAUAUUCAGUAAGAUAAAAAUUUGUUGAGUAUUAAAACCAUUAUUUUGUAACUUUACAGAUGAGCUAUUGUAUUUGUACCAAGUAGAUACAUCAGCAGUCAAUAGUCCACCAUAUGACGCUUCGGUUCAUCGACGUUUAGUUCAUUAUUAUUUUUUCUAUUACUCUAUGGAAGAAGAAACAAUGCCUAAUGGAUUUCCCCUGUUUUAUUCACCUCUUUACAGACUAGCGGCUAAUGGAUUUUGUGUGUUCCAACAACAGUUGGUUGGGUUCAAUUCAAUUCCUAGAAAUGGCAGGAGAGAUGCAAAUCCAUCAGAUUGUGCACUGCAAGGUUUGCUUCUUCUUAUGCUCGGUGCAGAUGUGAUGUAGUAAGAUAUUAGUUAUGUGCAUCAGCGUUUGUACAUUUUUAAAAAUAUUUUGCUUUAUACUGUAUUUCAUUUAACAUGAGAACAAAUAUAAAAGCAGAUUAUCAGCUUUCUAUCUCAAUUCUCAUUACAAUGUUUACCAGAAUGGCACAUAUUCGUAUUUGGGGAUAUUUUGAAAGGGCAAUCCUCUUACUGUUUGUAAAAACCGUACUAUUUCCCAACUCUGUCAAACUGACGAUGAGUAUGAUGCUACAUCUUCUAUAUUUCACCAAACAGGAAUUGUGUGUUUUAGUAGAACUGGACAUUUUAAUAGGUUGUAUUUUUUCUCUUUGAUGUUUGUUUUCAUUUGUUGCAAAACUAGGAGUUUGUCUUUGCUGCCACGUCUAAGCUUGAUCUGUCCAUGCAUGUGUGGCAAUUAUACCGCGUGACUAAAACACUAUUUUGCAUACAAUUGUGCCAAUCACUAAUAUUAUGACGCUGAAAUGGACGGGUGCGGCAACGCGUGCCUUUCAUGAUCUAGUGAGGGAUGAAUACUACCCUCUUGUUGUGCUUCGGUGUGGGGACGAUUUGCCCCUUGGCUGGAAGACGGUGGGCGAUUUCCUUCGCCAGGUACCCGGCCGCCCGAAGCUCGACAAUGUCCUUCUCCUUGAUGGAGGAAGCCAUCCACUUGCCUUGACCUCCGGAUACGGACAUGAUUGAGUGCUUGCUCGAGUGGGAAAAAGAUGAGAACUUGGGAGCUGGAGCUCAAGAGUGGAAGGGCAGAGGAAGAGAGAACGCGUGGGUGAAGAAAGGGGAUUCUUAUCUUCUUAUAAAGGCAGUGAAUAUUGAACGCUUCCCCACUCGCCUUAAAACUUGCCUGUUCCCAAGGGCUGUGUAAAUGACAUGGUUGGGUUACCCACACCCGUAUUGAUAAGAAUCCUGCAAUAAGGGGACACGGUCUCUGCUUCGACAAGACGUGCCAAUGGAAACCGCGUCUCGAAACAUGGAGCGGCAGACGAAAAACGGUUCAAAAUUAUGACCGGGCAAACAUGAUGUCAUGUUGUGAAAAGUUGUCAGCGGAUUGGACCCAUGGAAUAUUAUAUUCUCUCUGCGGUUGUGUGUGGUGCGUGUGUUACAGGUCCGGACACGUUCAAUACGUCUGAAGACUAUCUUGGAGUUUGGAAGGAGGAACCCGCCUUGCAAUGCCGAAGACAGAUCUACGCGCCGGAUACCUUGUCAUUGAAGCCAGGUUCAGGGGCUAAUGAGGGAGUCCUGAACUAAGGGGUCCUCGGGCGUCCGGCCUGGUAGCCAUGGGACGGACUGAUGGGUUGUGAAGAACACAAAGACCGAAGACUGCACCUGUGUCCGGAUGGGACUCUCCUUGGCGUGGAAGGCAAGCUUGGCGAUCAAAUAUGUAGAUUCCUUUCUUUGUAACCGGCCUUGUUAACCCCGGAUCCUCCCGGUGUCUAUAUAAACCGGAGGACUUAGUCCAGAGAGAGACAUUACCAUAGUCAUACAGGCUAGGCUUUUAGGGUUUAGCCAUUACGAUCUCGUGGUAGAUCAACUCUUGUAAUACUCAUAUUCAUCAAGAUCAAUCAAGCAGGAAGUAGGGUAUUACCUCCAUAGAGAGGGACCGGACUUGGGUAAACAUCAUGUCCCCUGUCUCCUGUUACCAUCGACCUUAGACUGUAACGCCCCGAGAGCGAUGUGCCAGGUGUCUUCGAGUUAUUCGCUGCUGUUGCCAUGUCUUUUUCUUAUGUGUUGCAUUUCAUCAUGUCAUCAUCUGCAUUGCAUCACCUUGUUUUUGAAACUUGCAUCCGUCCGGGUUCUCCCCGUUCCUUCCGUUGUCCAUUUUGAGUCCAGACACCCUUGCACGCGCCCGCGACACGUCCGAAAUAUUAUUUUAUAAGUGGCCGGAAAAUGUUCUCGGAUUGGGUUGAAAGUUGUUGUGUGGUCUUAUUAUAGUGUAGAUAGACCGCCUGUCAAGUUUCACCGCAUUCGGAGUUCGUUUGACGCCCCAACGAUUAACUAUAGCGGCAAUAUAGCCGGUUUAACGUCGGACGUUUUCGGUCUCCGGAUACAGUCGCCAGGCCUCCCUCUCUUCUCUUUUCUCAGCUUGAGGCCGUCUACAUAGCUCACUACCUACCGCCAGGUCCAACCUAACCUCUCUCGUCAGCCCGCAGCCCCCCUCGCGCGCGUCCGAAAGUUGUCCCGAACCCGACCCGGACUGUCGCCACCGUUGUGUCCGGGUCAUCCCCGAACGUCGACAAAACAUCUCCGUUUUGUUUAUUGGGCUUCCUAACCUAUUCUUCUCCGACCGUCCGAUUUUGAUAGGAUGAUUCAAAAUACUCCCUCCUAUCUGUUGGGGAACGUAGUAAUUUCAAAAAUUUCCUUACACACGCAAGAUCAUGGUGAUGCAUAGCAACGAGAGGGGAGAGUGUGAUCUACGUACCCUUGUAGACCAACAGCGGAAGCGUUGUGACAACGCGGUUGAUGUAGUCGUACGUCUUCACGAUCCGACCGAUCCAAGCACCGUUACUCCGGCACCUCCGAGUUCUUGGCACACGUUCAGCUCGAUGACGAUCCCCGGGCUCCGAUCCAGCAAAGCAUCGGGGAGGAGUUCCGUCAGCACGACGGCGUGGUGACGAUCUUGAUGUUCUAUCAUCGCAGGGCUUCGCCUAAGCACCGCUACAAUAUGACCGAGGUGGAAUAUGGUGGAGGGGGGCACCGCACACGGCUAAGGAACGAUCACGAAGAUCAACUUGUGUGUCUAGAGGUGCCCCCCUGCCCCCGUAUAUAAAGGAGCAAGGGGGGGGGGCGGCCGGCCUAGAAGGGGGCGCGCCAAGGGGAGUCCUACUCCCACCGGGAGUAGGACUCCUUCCUUCCUUGUUGGAGUAGGAGAAGAGGAAAGAGGGGGAGAGGAAGAAGGAAAAGGGGGCUGCGCCCCUUGUCCAAUUCGGACCAGAGGGGGGGCGCAGGCCUCCUUCCUUUUGGUCUCUCUCCUCUAUUCCCGUAUGGCCCAAUAAGGCCCAUAUACUCCCCGGCGAAUUCCCGUAACUCUCCGGUACUCCGAAAAAUACCCGAAUCACUCGGAACCUUUUCGAUGUCCGAAUAUAGUCGUCCAAUAUAUUGAUCUUUACAUCUCGACCAUUUCGAGACUCCUCGUCAUGUCCCCGAUCUCAUCCGGGACUCCGAACUCCUUCUGUACAUCAAAACUUAUAAACUCAUAAUAUAACUGUCAUCGAAACCUUAAGCGUGCGGACCCUACGGUUCGAGAACAAUGUAGACAUGACCGAGACACGUCUCCGGUCAAUAACCAAUAGCGGGACCUGGAUGCCCAUAUUGGCUCCUACAUAUUCUACGAAGAUCUUUAUCGGUCAGACCGCAUAACAACAUACGUUGUUCCCUUUGUCAUCGGUAUGUUACUUGCCCGAGAUUCGAUCGUCGGUAUCUUAAUACCUAAUUCAAUCUCGUUACCGGAAAGUCUCUUUACUCGUUCCGUAAUACAUCAUCUCACAACUAACUCAUUAGUUGCAAUGCUUGCAAGGCUUAUGUGAUGUGCGUUACCGAGAGGGCCCAGAGAUACCUCUCCGACAAUCGGAGUGACAAAUCCUAAUCUCGAAAUACGCCAACCCAACAUGUACCUUUAGAGACACCUGUAGAGCUCCUUUAUAAUCACCCAGUUACGUUGUGACGUUUGGUAGCACACAAAGUGUUCCUCCGGCAAACGGGAGUUGCAUAAUCUCAUAGUCAUAGGAACAUGUAUAAGUCAUGAAGAAAGCAAUAGCAACAUACUAAACGAUCGGGUGCUAAGCUAAUGGAAUGGGUCAUGUCAAUCACAUCAUUUUCCUAAUGAUGUGAUCCCGUUAAUCAAAUAACAACUCUUUUGUUUAUGGUUAGGAAACAUAACCAUCUUCGAUUAAUGAGCUAGUCAAGUAGAGGCAUACUAGUGACACUCUGUUUGUCUAUGUAUUCACACAUGUAUUAUGUUUCCGGUUAAUACAAUUCUAGCAUGAAUAAUAAACAUUUAUCAUAAGGAAAUAAAUAAUAACUUUAUUAUUGCCUCUAGGGCAUAUUUCCUUCAGUCUCCCACUUGCACUAGAGUCAAUAAUCUAGAUCACAUCGCCAUGUGAUUUAACAUCAAUAGUUCAUAUCUUUAUGUGAUUGGUUCACAUCUCCAUGUGACUAACACCCAAAAGGUUCUACUAGAUUCAAUAAUCUAGUUCACAUCGCUAUGUGAUUAAGACCCAAAAAGUGAUCAUGUUUUGCUUGUGAGAGAAGUUUAGUCAACGGGUCUACCACAUUCAGAUCUGUAUGUAUUUUGCAAAUUUCUAUGUCAACAAUGCUCCGCUCAGAGCUACUCUAGCUAUUUGCUCCCACUUUCAAUAUGUAUCCAGAUUGAGACUUAGAGUCAUCUGGAUUAGUGUCAAAACUUGCAUCAACGUAACCCUUUACAACGAACCUUUUUGUCACCUCCAUAAUCGAGAAUCAUAUCCUUAUUCCACUAAGGAUAAUUUUGACCGCUGUCCAGUGAUCUACUCCUAGAUCACUAUUGUACUACCUUGCCAAAAUCAGUGUAGGGUAUACAAUAGAUCUGGUACAUAGCAUGGCAUACUUUAUAGAACCUAUGGCUGAGGCAUAGGGAAUGACUUUCAUUCUCUUUCUAUGUUCUGUCGUGGUCGGGUUUUGAGUCUUACUCAAUUUCACACCUUGUAACACAGACAAGAACUCUUUCUUUGACUGUUCUAUUUUGAACUACUUCAAAAUCUUGUCAAGGUAUGUACUCAUUGAAAAAAAACUUAUCAAGCGUCUUGAUCUAUCUCUAUAGAUCUUGAUGUUCAAUAUGUCAGCAGCUUCACCGAGGUCUUUCUUUGGAAAAUUCCUUUCAAACACUCCUUUAUGCUUUGCAGAAUAAUUCUACAUUAUUUCCGAUCAACAAUAUGUCAUUCACAUAUACUUAUCAGAAAUUUUGUAGUGCUCCCACUCACUUUCUUGUAAAUACAGGCUUCAUCGCAAGUCUGUAUAAAACUAUAUGCUUUGAUCAACUUAUCAAAGCGUAUAUUCCAACUCCGAGAUGCUUGCACCAGUCCAUAGAUGGAUCGCUGGAGCUUGCAUAUUUUGUUAGCACCUUUAGGAUUGACAAAACCUUCUGGUUGUAUCAUAUACAACUCUUCUUUAAUAAAUCUGUUAUGGAAUGCAAUUUUGUUUAUCCAUUUGCCAGAUUUCAUAAAAUGCGGCAAUUGCUAACAUGAUUCAGACAGACUUAAGCAUAGGUACGAGUGAGAAACUCUCAUCGUAGUCAACACCUUGAACUUGUCGAAAACUUUUUCGACAAUUCUAGCUUUGUAGAUAGUAACACUACUAUCAGUGUCCAUCUUCCUCUUGAAGAUCCAUUUAUUAUCAAUGGCUUGCCGAUCAUCGGGCAAGUAAACCAAAGUCCAUACUUUAUUCUCAUACAUGGAUCCCAUCUCAGAUUUCAUGGCCUCAAGCCAUUUUGCGGAAUCUGGGCUCACCAUCGCUUAUUCAUAAUUCGUAGGUUCGUCAUGGUCAAGUAGCAUGACCUCCAGAACAGGAUUAUCAUACCACUCUGGUGCGGAUCUCACUCUGGUUUACCUACGAGAUUCGGUAGUAACUUGAUCUGAAGUUACAUGAUCAUCAUCAUUAGCUUCCUCACUAAUUGGUGUAGUAGUCACAGGAACAGAUUUCUGUGAUGAACUACUUUCCAAUAAGGGAGAAGGUACAAUUACCUUAUCAAGUUCUACUUUCCUCCCACUCACUUCUUUCGAGAGAACCUCCUUCUCUGGAAAUGAUCCAUUCUUAGCAACGAAUGUCUUGCCUUUGGAUCUGUGAUAGAAGGUGUACCCAACAGUAACUUUUUGGGUAUCCUAUGAAGACACACUUUUCCGAUUUGGGUUUGAGCUUAUCAGGAUGAAACUUUUUCACAUAAGCAUUGCAACCCCAAACUUUAAGAAACGACAACUUUGGUUUCUUGCCAAACCAUAGUUCAUACGGUGUCGUCUCAACAGAUUUAGAUGGUGCCCUUUUAACGUGAAUGCAGCUGUCUCUAAUGCAUAACCCCAAAACGAUAGUGGUAGAUCGGUAAGAGACAUCAUAGAUUGCACUAUACCCAAUAAAGUACGGUUAUGACGUUCGGACACACCAUUAUGCUAUGGUGUUCCAUGUGGCAUGAGUUUGUGAAACUAUUCCACAUUCUUUUAAUUGAAGACCAAACUCGUAACUCAAAUAUUUGUCUCCGCGAACAGAUCGUAGAAACUUUAUUUUCUUGUCACGAUGUUUUUCCACUUCACUCUGAAAUUCUUUGAACUUUUCAAACGUUUCAGACUUAUGUUUCAUCAAGUAGAUAUACCCAUAUCUGCUCAAAUCAUCUGUGAAGUUCAGAAAAUAACGAUACUUGCCAUGAGCCUUAACACUCAUUGGACCGCAUACAUUGGUAUGUAUUAUUUCCAAUAAGUCAGUUGCUCGCUCCGGAGAACGGAGUCUUAGUCAUCUUGCCCAUGAGGCAUGGUUCGCAAGCAUCAAGUGAUUCCAAAAUCCCAUCAGCAUGGAGUUUCUUCAUGCGCUUUACACCAAUAUGACCUAAACGGCAGUGCUACAAAUAAGUUGCACUAUCAUUAUUAACUUUGCAUCUUUUGGUUUCAAAUUUAUGAUUAUGUGUAUCACUACGAUCGAGAUCCAACAAACUAUGUUCGUUGGGUGUGUAACCAUAUAAGGUUUUAUUCCUGUAAACAGAACAACAAUUUAUUCUCUUACUUAAAUGAAUAACCGUAUUACAAUAAACAUGAUCAAAUCAUAUUCAUGCUCAACGCAAACACCAAAUAACACUUAUUCAGGUUCAACACUAAUCCCGAAAGUAUAGGGAGUGUGCGAUGAUGAUCAUAUCAAUCUUGGAACCACUUCCAACACACAUCGUCACUUCACCCUUAACUAGUCUCUGUUUAUUCUGCAACUCCCGUUUCAAGUUACUAAUCUUAGCAACUGAACUAGUAUCAAAUACUGAGGGGCUGCUAUAAACACUAGUAAAGUACACAUCAAUAACAUGUAUAUCAAAUAUACUUAUGUUCACUUUGCCAUCCUUCUUAUCCGCCAAUCACUUGGGGUAGUUCCGCUUCCAGUGACCAGUCCCUCUGCAGUAGAAGCACUUAGUCUCAGGCUUAGGACCAGACUUGGGCUUCUUCAGUUGAGCAGCAACUUGCUUGCUGUUCUUCUUGAAGUUCCCCUUCUUCCCUCUGCCCUUUUUCUUGAAACUAGUGGUCUUGUCUACCAUCAACACUUGAUGUUUUUCUCGAUUUCUACCUUCGUCAAUUUCCGCAUUACGAAGAGUUUGGGAAUCGUUUCCGUUAUCCCUUGCAUAUCAUAGUUCAUCACGAAGUUCUACUAACUUGGUGAUGGUGACUAGAGAAUUCUGUCAAUCACUAUCUUAUCUGGAAGAUUAACUCCCACUUGAUUCAAGCGAUUGUAGUACUCAGACAAUCUGGGCACAUGCUCACUAGUUGAGCGAUUCUCCUCCAUCUUUUAGCUAUAGAACUUGUUGGAGACUUCAUAUCUCUCAACUCGGGUAUUUGCUUGAAAUAUUAACUUCAACUGCUGGAACAUCUCAUAUGCUCCAUGACGUUCAAAAACGUCUUUGAAGUCCCGAUUCUAAGCCAUUAAGCAUGGUGCACUAAACUAUCAAGUAGUCAUCAUAUUGAGCUAGCCAAACGUUCAUAACGUCUGCAUCUGCUCCUGCAAUAGGUCCGUCACCUAGCGGUGCAUCAAGGACAUAAUUCUUCUGUGCAGCAAUGAGGAUAAACCUCAGAUCACGGAUCCAAUCCGCAUCAUUGCUACUAACAUCUUUCAACACAAUUUUCUCUAGGAACAUAUCAAAAUAAACACAGGGAAGCAACAACGCGAGCUAUUGAUCUACAACAUAAUUUGCAAAAUACUACCAGGACUAAUUUCAUGAUAAAUUUAAGUUCAAUUAAUCAUAUUACUUAAGAACUCCCACUUAGAUAGACAUCCCUCUAAUCCUCUAAGUGAUUACGUGAUCCAAAUCAACUAAACCAUGUCCGAUCAUCACGUGAGAUGGCGUAGUUUCAUUGGUGAACAUCACUAUGUUGAUCAUAUCUGCUAUAUGAUUCACAUCGACCUUUCGGUCUCCGUGUUCCGAGGCCAUAUCUAUAUAUGCUUGGCUCGUCAAGUAUAACCUGAGUAUUCUGCGUGUGCAACUGUUUUGCACCCGUUGUAUUUGAAUGUAGAGCCUAUCACACCCGAUCAUCACGUGGUGUCUCAGCACGAAGAACUUUCGCAAUGGUGCAUACUCAGGGAGAACACUUCUUGAUAAUUAGUGAGAGAUCAUCUUAUAAUGCUACCGUCAAUCAAAGCAAGAUAAGAUGCAUAAAAGAUAAACAUCACAUGCAAUCAAUAUAAGUGAUAUGAUAUGGCCAUCAUCAUCUUGUGCUUGUGAUCUCCAUCUUCGAAGCACCGUCAUGAUCACCAUCGUCAUCGGCGCGACACCUUGAUCUCCAUCGUAGCAUCGUUGUCAUCUCGCCAAUCUUAUGCUUCCACGACUAUCGCUACCGCUUAAUGAUAAAGUAAAGCAUUACAGCGCGAUUGCAUUGCAUACAAUAAAGCGACAACCAUAUGGCUCCUGCCAGUUGCCGAUAACUCGGUUACAAAACAUGAUCAUCUCAUACAAUAAAAUUUAGCAUCAUGUCUUGACCAUAUCACAUCAUAGCAUGCCCUGCAAAAACAAGUUAGACGUCCUCUACUUUGUUGUUGCAAGUUUUACGUGGCUGCUACGGGCUUAAGCAAGAACCAAUCUUACCUACGCAUCAAAACCACAACGAUAGUUUGUCAAGUUGGUGCUGUUUUAACCUUCGCAAGGACCGGGCGUAGCCACACUCGGUUCAACUAAAGUUGGAGAAACUGUCAUCCGCUAGCCACCUUUGUGCAAAGCACGUCGGGAGAACCGGUCUCGCGUAAGCGUACGCAUAAUGUCGGUCCGGGCCGCUUCGUCCAACAAUACCGCCGAACCAAAAUAUGACAUGCUGGUAAGCAGUAUGACUUAUAUCGCCCACAACUCACUUGUGUUCUACUCGUGCAUAUAACAUCAACAUAUAAAACCUAGGCUCUGAUACCACUGUUGGGGAAUGUAGUAAUUUCAAAAAUUUCCUACGCACACGCAAGAUCAUGGUGAUGCAUAGCAACGAGAGGGGAGAGUGUGAUCUACGUACCCUUGUAGACCGACAGCGGAAGCGUUGUGACAACGCGGUUGAUGUAGUCGUAUGUCUUCACGAUCCGACCGAUCCAAGCACCAUUACUCUGGCACCUCCAAGUUCUUGGCACACGUUCAGCUCGAUGACGAUCCCCGGGCUCCGAUCCAGCAAAGCGUCGGGGAGGAGUUCCGUCAGCACGAUGGCAUGGUGACGAUCUUGAUGUUCUAUUGUCGCAGGGCUUCGCCUAAGCACCGCUACAAUAUGACCGAGGUGGAAUAUGGUGGAGGAGGCACCGCACACGGCUAAGGAACGAUCAUGAAGAUCAACUUGUGUGUCUAGAGGUGCCCCCCUGCCCCCGUAUAUAAAGGAGCAAGGGGGAGGGGGCGGCCGGCCUAGAAGGGGGCGCGCCAAGGGGAGUCCUACUCCCACCGGGAGUAGGACUCCUUCCUUCCUUGUUGGAGUAGGAGAAGGGGAAAGAGGGGGAGAGGAAGAAGGAAAAGGGGGCUGCGCCCCUUGUCCAAUUCGGUCCAGAGGGGGGGCGCAGGCCUCCUUCCUUUUGGCCUCUCUCCUCUAUUCCCGUAUGGCCCAAUAAGGCCCAUAUACUCCCCGGCGAAUUCCCGUAACUCUCCGGUACUCCGAAAAAUACCCGAAUCAGUCGGAACCUUUCCGAUGUCCGAAUAUAGUCGUCCAAUAUAUCGAUCUUUACGUAUCGACCAUUUCGAGACUCCUCGUCGUGUCCCCGAUCUCAUCCGGGACUCUGAACUCCUUCGAUACAUCAAAACUCAUGAACUCAUAAUAUAACUGUCAUCGAAACCUUAAGCGUGCGGACCCUGCGGUUCAAGAACAAUGUAGACAUGACCGAGACACGUCUCCGGUCAAUAACCAAUAGCGGGACCUGGAUGCCCAUAUUGGCUCCUAGAUAUUCUACGAAGAUCUUUAUCGGUCAGACCGCAUAACAACAUACGUUGUUCCCUUUGUCAUCGGUAUGUUACUUGCCCGAGAUUCGAUCGUCGGUAUCUUAAUACCUAGUUCAAUCUCGUUACCGGAAAGUCUCUUUACUCGUUCCGUAAUACAUCAUCUCACAACUAACUCAUUAGUUGCAAUACUUGCAAGGCUUAUGUGAUGUGCAUUACCGAGAGGGCCCAGAGAUACCUCUCCGACAGUCGGAGUGACAAAUCCUAAUCUCGAAAUACGCCAACCCAACAUGUACCUUUGGAGACACCUGUAGAGAUCCUUUAUAAUCACCCAGUUACGUUGUGACGUUUGGUAGCACACAAAGUGUUCCUCCGGUAAACGGGAGUUGCAUAAUCUCAUAGUCAUAGGAACAUGUAUAAGUCAUGAAGAAAGCAAUAGCAACAUACUAAACGAUCAGGUGCUAAGCUAAUGGAAUGGGUCAUGUCAAUCACAUCAUUCUCCCAAUGAUGUGAUCCCGUUAAUCAAAUAACAACUCUUUUGUUUAUGGUUAGGAAACAUAACCAUCUUCGGUUAACGAGCUAGUCAAGUAGAGGCAUACUAGUGACACUCUGUUUGUCUAUGUAUUCACACAUGUAUUAUGUUUCUGGUUAAUACAAUUCUAGCAUGAAUAAUAAACAUUUAUCAUGAUAUAAGGAAAUAAAUAAUAACUUUAUUAUUGUCUCUAGGGCAUAUUUCCUUCACUAUCUACAUGCUGGUAUAUAUAGCAGUCCACCCAGUCCAACCCUAAAUCUAGCUCCCUUGUCCCAUCCCCGCCGCCACUCUCUCGGGAUCCAUCCCGCCACCCACCUGGUCUCGUCCUCGUUUUCAGCCACCAUCCCACCAGAUCUGAUCCAGGCCACCCUUCCAUCCCGACCAUCGGAUCGAGGAUCCAACGAUCGAGCCAGUCUCCUACAGCGCCCUGCCUCCCGCUCCCUCCUUGAUCCGGAUCGAGAGGAGCUCGACCCCGAGCCGCCGCCCGAGCACCUCCUCCUCACUAGUGCUUCCCUGGAUCCCGUCGUCCACCCAACCAGCGCAACCACCAGACCGGAGCAAGCCGGGCUCCUCCUCUGCUUCUUCCUCAAGCCGCCUGAACCAGCCCCUGCCUCCUCGACCUCCCGAGCUGUCACGCCUCCAUCUUCCCGUUUGUGCAAGGCAGGCGAGACGCCCAGGUCACGUCGACGUCCCUCCGCGCCUUCUUUCCUUUCCUCCUCUCGCUGCUCUUCCCUGACCAUCCGCUUCAUCUCGUUUCUUUUUGUCACAGUGAACCAGCGCCACCGCCGAAGCACGAGUUCACCACUGUCGUUGCCUCCAGCCCCGCCUCGGUUCCGGCUGGACCUGAACGGGAGCAUGCUCCGCUGCCCGUUCUCGGCCUCCCCCGCAUCCAAUUCCUCGCUUGCAUCUCCUCCAUCAGUGCCGCCAUGGAUGGCUAUGACCCGCGCCCGAGCUCCAUCUGCCGCCGCCGUUGCCCGGAACCGACGCCGCAUGACUCGAUCCGCCCGUUCCCGCCCGUUCCCGCCGUCCCCGUCGCCGGGACCCCUCCUGUCGUCGUCGCCUACAUCACCCUGGACGUGCUGUUGUUUCUGUUCUUCAGAAACAAACAGCAGCAGCUCGCCUGCUCGUCUCGCUCACGCGUUGACCGAGCGCAGCGCUAGCAGGCCUAGUUGCGCGCCCGCUGCAGGCCUUCCCUCUCCACUAGUUGGGUCAAGGCCCAGUGGUGAGCAGCCGCCAAACACCCCCCCUAUGUAGCUGGGCCAGACAGUUUCGGCCCAGUGGUUUUUUUUGGUUCUGCGAAUUUGAUAUUUAACCAGGGAUUUACAGAUUUGCAGACAAACCCCUAAGCUCCAUGCAUAUCAUAGCUCACCAACCGUGCAUCUUUUGUAAAAACUUAAUAUAUGAAACUUGCUUAGAAUUUUGUGUAGAUUAACAAUUUGCAACUUUCAUCCAUGUUAAAAAUAUUUAAAAUGUUGUUUGGUUAAAUUUGCUCCUAUGCCAUGAAAAAAAUGCUUUAAUUCAUAACUAAAUAACCGUAACUCCGAAUUUAAUAAACUUUAUAUGUAAAUGGGGUAGAAAAAAUCCUAGUUUAACAUGGUGGCCUUACUUUGCAUGUUUAACAACUCUAAAAUUGUGUUUAGGGCAGAUCAGUACCAUAACCAAAAUAUGCACAUGAGGAUUUUUCCGGACUUGUUGUUUGUUGUUCCGGCCUCAUUUAAACUUGUCUAGAUAGAUAGUUUCAUUAUGCUUCACCUCUUGCCAUGCUAACAACAUUUAAUAUUGUUGAGUACCUAAACAAGAGAGAACUAAAUAAGUCAUGUGGUGUUUUCUUCAAUAUGCAACUCCGCGGCAUAUUGUGCUCCACUUAAUUUGUAGGUUUGUUUGUGCACUUUGCCAUGCCAUGCUUCAUUAAACCGGACAUGCAUCAUACUUGAUUGUGCAUCAUGCCAUGUUCAUGUGUUGGUUGUUUACUAUGUUGUGUGCUUCUUUCCGGUGUUGCUUCUUCGGGUUGGUUCCGAUAAUGUUGCGUUUGUGAGGAUCCGUUCGACAACGUCCUUUUGUCUUCUUCAUGGACUCGUUCUUCUUCCUUGCGGGAUCUCGGGCAAGAUGACCAUACCCUCGAAAUCACUUAUAUCUUUGCUUGCUAGUUGCUCACUCUUUUGCUAUGCCUAUGCUGCGAUACCUACCACUUGCUUAUCAUGCCCCCAUAUUGUUAAGCCAAGCCUCUAACCCACCUUGUCCUAGCAAACCGUUGUUUGGCUAUGUUACCGCUUUGCUCAGCCCCUCUUAUAGCGUUGUUAGUUGCAGGUGAAGAUUGGAGUUUGUUCCUUGUUGGGACUUGGUCAUUAUGUUGGGAUAUCACAAUAUCUCUUAUUUAAUUAAUGCAUCUAUAUACUUGGUAAAGGGUGGAAGGCUCGGCCUUAUGCCUGGUGUUUUUGUUCCACUCUUGCCGCCCUAGUUUCUGUCAUAUCGGUGUUAUGUUCCCGGAUUUUGCGUUCCUUACACGGUUGGGUUAUAAUGGGAACCCCUUGACAGUUCGCUUUGAAUAAAACUCCUCCCGCAAGGCCCAACAUUGGUUUUACCAUUUGUCACCUAGCCUUUUUCUUUUCCCUUGGGAGUCGUGCUCCCGAGGGUCAUCUUUAUUUUAGCCCCCCCCCCCCUGGCCAGUGCUCCUCUGAGUGUUGGUCCAACAUGUCAGCUACCGGUGACCACCAGGGGCAACUCUGGGCUGGUCUACCGGAACCUUGGACAAUCCAGUGUGCCCUGAGAACGAGAUAUGUGCAGCUCCUAUCGGGAUUUGUCGGCACAUUCGGGUGGCUUUGCGGGUCUUGUUUUACCAUUGUCGAGGAUGUCUUGUAACCGGGAUGCCGAGUCUGAUCGGAAUGUCUUGGGAGAAGGAAUAUCCUUUGUUGACCGUGAAAGCUUGUGAUGGGCUAAGUUGGGACACCCCUGCAGGGAUUUGAACUUUCGAAAGCCAUGCCCGCGGUUAUGGGCAGAUGGGAAUUUGUUAAUGUCCGGUUGUAGAAAACCUGAAGUUUAUCUUAAUUAAAAUACAUCAACCGCGUGUGUUACCAUGAUGGUCUCUUCUCGGCGGGGUCCGGGAAGUGAACACGGUGUUGGAGUAAUGCUUGACGUAGGUUGUUCUAGGAUCACUUCUUGAUCAUAGUUUCUCGAAUGUGCUUUGCCUUCUCUUCUCGCUCUCAUUUGCGUAUGUUAGCCACCAUAUAUGCUCGCUUGCUGCAGCUCCACCUCAUACCUUUACCUUACCUAUAAGCUUAAAUAGUCUUGAUCGCGAGGGUGUCAGAUUUCUGAGUCUCCGUGACUCACAGAUACUUCCAAAACCAGUUUGCAGGUGUCGUUGAACCACGCAGGUGACGCAACCAAGCUCAAAGGAGGAGCUCAAUGAAGAUAUUGUUCUUUGUGUUGUUUCGAUUGAGUUGAUCAGUAGUGGAGCCCAGUUGGGGUUGAUCGGGGAUCUGUGUAGCAUUUGGGGUAGUCUUCUUUUAUUUUGGUUCCGUAGUCGGACCUUGAUUAUAUCUGGUUGAAUGUAAUGCGUUAUUCAUGUAAUUGUGUGAAGUGGCGAUUGUAAGCCAACUAUGUAUCUCUUUUCCUUAUGUAUUACAUGGGUUGUGUGAAGAUUACCUCACUUGCGACAUUGCUUUCAAUGCGGUUAUGCCUCUAAGUCGUGCUUCGACACGUGGGAGAUAUAGCCGUAUCGAGGGCGUUACAUAGACGCAUAGUUCAGGAACCCCCUACUUUAGAUCCGCCGGUUUUGACACCGACAGGGAGUCCGUGGACACUGAUUCAGGAGCCGACUAUCCAACGUUGUCUGCAUACAUUUUAACAACUAUUGGAACUAACCGGAAGAAAUUCAUGUAAACACGGUGGAUUUCAUAUAAACCGGACUGCCCUGCAAACCAAUACAGGUCCACGUGGAUGGCACAACACGUCCAGAUAACAUGAUAAGGGUGUACACGGGCGGUUUGAGGGUUGUAGUUGGAGAUGCCUUUAUAUAGUUUUGUUGGUGUUUGGCUGACAGGAGUUUCAACCCUUUAUUUGAGGUGGCCUGGUAGUUGUGUAGUGUUUUCUGUUUUAGUUCUUCUGAACCAUGUGUCUUUCAUAAUGAAAAUCGAGGAGGCAACCCUUUUGUUAAGUAAAAGAAAUUCUUUUUUUUGAGAGUACGACAAUGGCGUACCAUAUUUUUAUAGAAGGCAAAAGUUUAAUGUGUACAGGAUACCGUCAUCGGAUGCGAACAUCAUGUCGGCAAACACCCACACCAACAAAAACACAAGGUCACUCUCUCACAAACGGGUCUAAACCACCAACACCUAGCCCUGCUGCCAUCCAUUCUUUGAUCUCCUCACGUACCUGUACCACCAGUUGCGUAGGGGUUCUUUGCUGAUGAGGAUUGUUGAACACUCUCGUGUUACAUUGCUUCCAAAGAGCCCAAGUCGUUCCAAUAACGAAGGAGUCAAAACCUCUCCUGGUCCUUCUCGAGAAGUUCUUCCUGCUCCUCAUCCACCAGUCCAUAAACUUUAUGUCUAAGUUCGGAGGCUCAAUGUUUAGUUGGAAAGCCUCAAAACACCGAUGCCAAACCUCCCUCGCAAACACACAAUAUGCAAGGGUAUGGUCAAGAUUGUCUUCAUCAUGUAGGCAAGAGAAACAAACCGACGGCUCCUGCUGCAGUCCGUGGCGUGCUCUGCGAUCGCUAGUCCAUAGACGGUAUUGUACCAUGAGCCAAGCGAAAAUCUUGCAUGUCAAUGGAGCCCAGCUCCUCCAAAUGGUCAUGGUCGUAGGUUACUCUAUCAAUCCCAUGCAUAAGCGGUUAUAAACAAACCAUGCGGAGUGGCGUCCCAAUCCAUCCGCUGGCCAAAGAAAUUGGUCUCUCUCUCCUUUGCUUCUUGAUCCCAUCACCGGGCUGGUUCCCACGACUGCCGCGCUUCCUACUGCUUUUGUUGCGCCGCUGUCGUCCCCUACGGUGGACUCCCUGAGCUCGACCGCCUCGCCUCUGCCCGUGCCUGUUGCUGGCCUGGAGGUGCAUGGACUUGUUCUGCUACCUGAUGCUGGCCUGGAGCCCGCGGCUGCUGUCAUGCUACCUGAAGAUGGACUGGAGCCCGUGCAUGGAGUUGGCCUAGGGCCCGUGCAUGUAAACGUGUUUGUUGAUGGCCUGGAGCCCGUGCAUGGAGGUGGCCUAGGGCCCGUGCAUGUAAGUGUGUUGCCAUGUGCUGACUUGGCGCAUAAAAACGUGCUGCCACCUGAUGACUUGGUGGUUGGGUUGCUCCCUGUUGGGCCUGUGGUGGCUCGCCCGGUUACCUUCAAUGGGUCGUCUGCUGCUGUUGUUCUGCUGCCCGGCGACGCCCACGCUAAGUUGCUCGCCGAUGAUCCCGCUGCGCUAGCCGUCGUGGCAGCGCCUGAAGACGGACCGCUUCCUCCAGCUACUGUGGACACGUUCCUCGACUCCGUCGCCAACUGUGCCGACGCUCCGCUGCUGCCCACUCCAGCUCCACGCAAAGCCAAGGCUGCUGUAGCGGUUACUCGUUGCAGCGCCCGCCUUGACAAGAAGAAGGCUCUGCUCCCGCCGGGUGCCGGCUCGGACGCGGUCCAAGAGAUCAUUGCUAGGGUCUGCGGUGUCCUUGAUCCAUCCGUCGGCUACGACGACAAGGCCAAGCAAGCGUACCUAGACAUGUUCGCCACUCCGCUAGCCGCUCCCGUGGUCCAAGCGAUUGCGGGGCUUGUUUCACAUGCCAAGAACCUCACACAAAAGAAGCUGAAGAAGGGCAAGAAAGCAACCGUGGAGACUCAAGUUGCUGAGGUGUAGGUGUCCUAGUAGUUCUAGUGGCCCUUGCGUCUGACGCUCGGCCUGGGAGGUCUUCCGUCCCAAGAUGUAUCGCCUUCUGCUUUCUGCUUUCCGUUUUAGUCUCCAGAUGCUGCGCAUCGCCGCGGCUCCAGGUCGCCUAUCGUCUCACCCUUGGGGUGCUUCAUAUUCGUCUGCUAUCUUCUACAACAUGUGUGUUUACGUCAACCGUCCAUCUACCGGCUACUCGGCUUUGAGAAGCUGCUCCUGCCGUGAUCACUCAAAGUUUCCUUAAUGGCACAACCUAAUGUCAACAUCAUCCGUUGGAACGUUCGAGGCCUGAACUCGCGUGCCCGCCGGGAUGCCGUUCGGGACAUCGUCCGAGACUCCCAUGCAUCCAUUGUCUGCCUCCAAGAGACAAAACUCCAGGUCGCUGAUGACGCCACCAUUCGCGAGAUGCUUGGCCCGUGUUUCGUCGCAAACUGUUAUAUCCUCCCGGCCGACGGCACCCGCGGGGGCUUGAUUCUGGCCACGUCGGGUCGCUUCUUCACCCUAUCCGACUUCCAUGCAACUCCAGGCUCCAUCUCCGCCAUCGUCACCUUGCUUAACGAGCGCGCUUCAUGGACAAUCACGGGCGUCUAUGGCCCGCAGGGCGAGCAAGACAAGUUGGCCUUCAUUGAGGAGCUGAGGACUCUCAAUACCAUGGCCAGAAGCGAGUGGCUCCUUCUGGGGGAUUUCAACCUCAUCACUAAAGCGGCGGAUAAGAGCAACACCAACAUCAACCGCCGCCUGGUGGGCAAGUUCCAUGGGGCUCUUGAUUUCUUGCAGCUAAAGGAGCUUCACCUAGGCGGGCGCCGUUUCACCUGGUCAAAUGCGCAGGCCAACCCGGUCCUUACCAAGAUUGACCACGUGUCCCACUCUGACGAUUGGGACAUGCUCUUUCCCAAUGCGCACCUUCAGGCUAUCACCACAGCUUGCUCGGAUCAUGCUCCAUUAUAUCUUCAGGGGUGCGUCGACGACUUAAGAAAGCCUUCCUUUAAAUUCGAGGAAUUCUGGCUUCGUCUCCCGGGCUUCAAGGAAACCGUUGCCUUGGCAUGGAGCAAACCUGUUCAGGCCCGGGAUGCCAUCCGCAAGAUUCAUAUCAAGCUCUGUCGGACCGCGAAGGCCCUGCGCAAGUGGCAAAAGGAAAAGGUCGGGAUGCUUGGCUCCCAGAUCACAGUUGCCAAGGAGAUCAUCUGGCGCCUGGAUGUUGCUGAGGAGGGAAGACCGCUCUCGGACUUGGAGAGGGAAUUGCGUAAACAACUUAAGGCCUCGUACCUGGGGCUCCUCGCCAUUCAGAAAAUCAAGCUGAGACAGCGUUCUCAGCUCAACUGGAUCCGGCUGGGGGAUGCCACCACAAAGCUUUUCCAUGCUCGAGCGAACAGACGAAGGCGUAAGAACUUCAUCCAGACAAUCACCACCACCUCGGGGCUGGCAAUUACUAGACAGGACAAGGAACGGGCCCUUCUGGACCACUUCCAGGCUAACAUCGGCACGCCUGCCCUGCGCACCAAGUCCAUUGUCUGGGAGAACAUCGGGAUGCAGCGCCACGACCUAUCGGCUCUGGAUGCUCCAUUCGACGAGGCGGAGAUUAAGGAGGCGGUAUUCUCCUUACCUUCGGUCAAGGCCCCGGGCCCUGAUGGUUUCGUCGGCGCCUUCUUCAAAUCAUGCUGGGAGAUCAUCAAAGUGGAUGUCGUGGCUGUGGUGAUGCAGCUCACGAACCUGAGAGGCGACUGCGCUGGCCUGAUCAAUUCUGCCAACAUUAUUAUGCUCCCGAGAAAAGCCGGCGCAUCCUCGAUUGGCGACUACCGCCCAAUCAGUUUGAUACACAGCAUCUCCAAGAUCUUCUCCAAGCUGUUGGCUAACCGACUAGCCCCUCUUCUUCCGUCGCUGGUUUCCAAGUGCCAGAGUGCCUUUGUGCAGAAACGGUGCAUCCACGAUAAUUUCCUACACGUGCAAAACAUGAUCAAAGAAUUGCACCGCUCUUCAACGCCAGGCCUUUUCCUCAAGCUCGACAUCUCCAAGGCUUUCGACUCUGUGGGUUGGGCUUACCUCCUGGAGGUGCUGCAACAGUUGGGAUUUGGGCAGCGCUGGCGGGAAUGGAUCUGCAUGACCCUCGCUUCAUCUUCCUCUAGGGUGCUGUUAAAUGGGGAGCCGGGAACCCCAUUCAUACAUGGAAAAGGCCUUCGCCAGGGCGACCCAGUGUCACCUAUGCUCUUCAUUCUGCCCAUCGAUCCUCUGCAACUUAUGUUUCGGGCGGCUUCCCGGGCCGGGACCCUCAAGCCCAUCAGGGCGCGGACGGCCUCCUGCAGGGUUUCUCUCUAUGCAGACGAUGCGGGCAUCUUCGCUAACCCGGUCAAAGAAGAGAUCGACGCCAUCGCUAGGAUCCUUGCCUGUUUUGGGGAUGCAUCGGGCCUCGUCACAAACGUCAGCAAGACCGAGGUGUUUCCCAUUCGCUGCCAGGACAUCGAUCUCCCGGCAAUCCUCUCAGCCUUCCCGGCCAAGCUGGCCUCAUUCCCCGGCCGAUACCUAGGUCUCCCACUACAUACCAGGCGGCUCAGAAGGGUUGACCUCCAACCUCUUCUAGACAACGCAAUGGGCCGGUUGCCGGGCUGGAAGGGGAAGAACCUGGCGCGACCGGGCAGGGUCUCCCUUGCAAAGUCUGUAUUGUGCGCCAUCGCAAAUCAUCACCUCACUGCGCUCUCGCUUCCCACUUGGGCAAUCCAGAAGCUUAGUAAGAUCACUCGUAACUUCAUCUGGUGCGGGGAAGACUCGGAAAACGCAUUUGGCGGACAUUCUCUGGUCAACUGGAAGACUGUCUGCCGGCCUAAGCCCAUGGGGGGCCUGAAAAUCACUGACCUCGAGAGAUUUGGUCGGGCGCUUCGUCUGCGCUGGCCUUGGCUUAUGUGGACUGAUCCUGGCCGCCAAUGGGUGGGCUCUGCAGUGCCCUGCGAUGAGACGGAUAUGGCGCUCUUCAGGGCUUCUACCACCAUCUCCUUGGGCAAUGGGAGAAAAUCCUUAUUCUGGCACGACGACUGGACAGGACGGGGCCCCCUGUCCCGGGCCUUCCCGGAGCUGUACAAAAUUGCCACCAGGAAGAGGAGAACUGUGAUGAAGGAGCUCCAGGAGGAGAACUGGAUCAGAUCGGUGGCCCGUCUUUCAUCGCCUACCCAUCUGCAGGAGUUCAUUGCCCUCGCAUCAGCUAUCUCUCAGGUUGAGUUGAACCCGGACCGGGAGGACUCCAUCACUUGGCGGUGGACCCCAAAUGGCAUGUACUCUGCUGCUUCGGCCUACGCGGCCCAGUUCUCUGCAUCCUAUCCCAGGUUUUCCCCAGCCAAGAUUUGGGAGGCACACGCUGAGCCAAAAUGCAAGUUCUUCGCCUGGCUUGUGCUCCACAGAAAAAUCCUCACGGCCGACAUGCUAGCCGUUCGUGGCUGGCCGCACAACCCUCGCUGCUCCCUUUGCCUUGGGGCACCGGAGACGGCCACUCAUCUCUGUAAGGACUGCCCGUUUGCCGCCGCAGUUUGGUCUCACGUCCAGGUGUGGACGGGAGAGGAUUCUGGGGCCACGCCCACGUUGCCCCCUUCGAUGGGGAUUUCGGACUGGUGGGAUUCGUUCACCACCAAUUUGCCCAAGGACGACGGAAGAAGGCGGAGCGGCCGCUUCCUUUACACCAUCUGGAACAUCUGGAAGGAGCGAAACCGCCGCAUCUUCAAUGGAACUCGCCUCACGCACCUAGAGGUAGCAGCUAUUGCCUUCGACGACAUCAAGCAAAGGACUUUGGCCUUUGGCCGAGCACAGGUAGCAGCCGGUAUCGGUUGAUUAGUUUCUAUGGGUUUUUGUCCGGUUUCUCUCGGAAAACCGGAACACUCUUGUACAUAAACUUUAUUCUCCUUCUUAUAUGAAAAGGCAGUGCUUCUGCCGGUUCCUCAAAAAAAACGUAGCAAUGGCCUGGCAAAGGUGCGCGGCUUGUAUGUGCGCCAUGAAGGAAAGGUCCCCUUGCACGUCGUGGAUCCAUGCAUUCUCAAUCAAAGCCUGGUGAACAGUUCUCAUGUUCCUUGCGCGCGGCUGCACAAGCUGAACAAUGAGCAACGUAAUUUCUCCUACGAUGGACCAAUGGAUCCAUCUAUCCUUCUAGCAUAGGACUUUGUUGCCUUCACCCAGGAUUAUCUUGACCAUACUUUGGAAUACCAUGCAAGUGUCCUUGUCUUCAACCAUGCUCAACCCAUGCCACGGCCUUUGCUGAUCUACUCUUUUCAACCAUUUCCAUCGGACUCGCAGUGCAAGCGCUUGCAACCGGAUGUUCUUGAUCCCUAGUUCGCCGAAUCGCGUAGGGCGACAUAUGGUCUCCCAUGCGACGAUCGAGGCAUUAACCUCCAUUUACUCUGUCCUUACCUAUGCAGAAGAAAGCCCGCAUGCACUUAUCGAUAUCUUCGUAGACCCACUCUGGGGUGUUAAGCAUCAUUAGUUGAUGAAUUGGCCUCGCCGCGAUCAUCUAGAGAAGAAUUAGUAAAUAUGUUAAGAGUAACCUGACAUCUUCCAACUAUUUGGUGGCUGUAUUACAGAAACUAGAUGAUGCCCCGCACGUUGUUGCGGGAAUAUUUUGCAAUAUCUCAAUGAGGUUUUUGGUUACACGAAACAUCAAUAUUUGAAAUAAUAGUUUUUGAAAGUAUAUAAGAAUUUGAUAUAAAUAGCAUAAUAGAAUGGAAUUUUACAUGCACGCAUGGAUGCAUGGUGAAGUGGAUUUUUAAAAUGCAUAGUUGUAUGUUAAGGUGGGCCUUUUUUAUGCAUGUUGAAUAAUGAGGUGUCAUGUUUGCAUAUUGAGAGAAAUAUGUUAGUGGGGUUAAUUAUUUAGAUACAGAAGAUGUGUCUUUUUGCCCAUCGAGAUUGGUUUCCUAAGGCCCUGUUUGGUUCCAAUAAGUCACCUGGCUUAUAAGUUAGGUGACUUAAAACCAGUGACUUAUAAGUCACACCUGUUUGGUUGCCAUCUGACUUAUGAGUCAUCUGAGCGCACCUUUCCACCUUGUUUUUUAUGUAAAGGUGGUGGGACCCAUGCAAAAGGUGGUGACUUAUAAGUUUUAAGUUGGGGUGGAACAAUUUAUGACUUAUAAGUUAGAGUGAUUUAUAAGUUGGGUCCGUUUAGCAAAAUAAGUUACUUUUUGCACUUUUCGAUUUAUGAGUUGAUGACUUAUUUAGAAUCAAACAGGACCUAAAUUUUUUUGAAAACACCGACCAAAGAGGCAAAACCCGACGCGACGCAUCCCCAGCCAAAAGGCGGAGGCCACAUGACGAGACGGCUCGUCGGCCUCGAUUCCACCUCGUCGUGAACGCGGAACCGCUCCAUGAUCACCCCGGCCAAUCAGGGAUAGCUGGACCUUCCAGUCGCUUCCACCCCCAAACUAAACCCCGUCACGGCACGGAGCGGCAGCGCCACGCGUCCCUCCCCUUCUCCACCCACCCCACGUGUGCGUCGAGGUGGCGCUCGCCUCCCCGUUCUGCUCCGCUUAUAUCCCAGCCUCAGUCGACCAAGGCUUUCACCAUCCCACACACAGCAUUUCCAUUUAGCGAUCGAGCAACAAGCCAAUUCGUCACAGUGAUCAAGGAGUCUGAGAUUGCCUAGCAGCUGCACCGACGUUCGUGCGACGAUGGACGCGCCGGCCAUGCUCACGCGCAAGCACGUCCCCGAGAACAUCGCCGGUGAGUAGUGCCACACCGAAUCUGGUCUCUGGAUCCCCGGCACGCACGGCGUCGCCAUUCAUAUAUCCGUUACGAGUUCGUUGUUGAUUUACUUGCAAAUGGCAUACGUGUGUGACUGCAGCUGAGGGGGAGGGCGGGCAGCAACAGAUGCACCGGGACGAGAAGCAGCACAAGCCGGUGCUCAAGAAGGUCAAGGACAAGGUGAAGAAGAUCAAGAACACCAUCGCCGGCCACGGCCACGGCAACGGCAACGGCCACGAUCACGAUCACGACCAGGACACCGGUGGCAGCAACAGCACCGACGAGGACGAGGAGGAUGCGGCCAUGAGGGAAGCCAAAGUGGAGAAGGGCGGGUACCAGCAAGACGUCGAGGACAAGCCCAUCUUCGCAGACUCCAGCCCCGAGCUGCACGGCGCACCCAGUAAGUAGAUGCUCGCGGUGUGUGUCACUCGUGUGCGCGUGCGUGCUGUCGGUGCUUAAGGCUUGUAUCGCUUGUGAUAAUCCGUUGCAGUGUACGACUCGGAGAGGAUCCCGGCGGCGGCGAAGGAGGUGAAGCACAACGACGCUCCGGGGGUGCGGUUCGGUGACAUUGGCGGCCCGGCAGCGGCGCAUGAGGUGAACCGCGAGGACGCCGCGGGGGUGCGGGUCGGCGACUUCGGCGGCCCGGCAGCGGCGCAUGAGGUGAAGCGCGACGACGCCGCGGGGGAGCGGCUCGGCGACUUCGGCGGCCGGGCGUCGGCGAAGGAGGUGCAGCGCGACGACACCCAGGGGGUGCGGCUCGGCGAUCUCGGCGGCCCAGUCGUCGAGGACCCGGCCGCGCCGAACUCGAGGACGCCCAUGCCGCGAGGUGGCGAGGACAUCGGCACCACGGACGUCGUCCGUGACUUCGAGGCGAUGACUGUGUCAGACGACCCCAAGCAAGUCCACGUGAGCAAAGAGUAUGAGGCAAUGCCGGUGUCGGACGGCAACGGGGAGGAAUGGAACGAUGCACCCACUGACGCCGACUACACCGGGAGCUACACGGACAGGCUCAAGAACACGGCAGCUGGCACCACCGAGUAUGGCAAGAAGCUGGCGAGCACGGUGUAUGAGAAGGUCGCCGGCGUCGGCACGGUCGUGGCGAGCAAGGCGCAGCAGGUCACCCCCGGCUUCGGUGCUGGCGGGGACGCGCAGGACGACUCCAGCGCUACUGCCGCCCCUGACUCAGUGACCGCAGGUGCCGGGAAGAGGGACCUCGACUUGCCGAAAGAGGGAACGACGGCGUCCUACACCGGCACCGAGGAGCUGAAGAACGCGGCCACGGACGCGGCGGGCGCGGAGGGGCUGAAGAACGCGGCCACAGACGCGGCGGGCGCGGAGGGCGCGCCUGGCACGACGUACACCGACAAGAUCAAGUCCGCUGCGGCGGGCACCACGGAGUACGGCAAGAAGCUGGCGAGCACGGUGUACGAGAAGGUCGCCGGCGUGGGCACGGCCGUGGCGAGCAAGGCGCAGCAGGUGACACAAUCGGCCGGCACCGCCACUCCUGUAGUCGGCGCGCAGGACGGCGCCACCACCACUGCGACGGCCACCCCAGGCGUCGGUGCGCAGGACGGCGCCACCACCAGGGCGACGGUCACCCCUGGCGCGGGUGGGCCGGGGAACGGGCAGGACAAGGGGGUGACCGGCGUGACAGCCUACAUCGCCGAGAAGCUGCGCCCGGGCGACGAGGAGCGCUCGCUGAGCGAGGCCAUCACCGGCGCCGUGCAGCAGCGCAAGGAGGGGGUCGGGAGCACGGUGGCCAAGGCGCGCGAGGUGCCGGCACAGGCGGUGACCAGGGCGCGCGGCGCCGUCACGUCGCUCACCGGCGGGAACCGCGUCUCGGAGACCAUGCAGCCCACCACAGGUACGCACCACACGCCCCAUCACCCUUACUAACCGCAAACAUAUUUUCGGCGUUCGCAGCGGAGUUGACGACGGGUUCUUGUUCUUGUUGCUGCAGAGGGGAACAUCGGGGAGGGCGUCGCGGCGGAGGGGCCAGUGCUCCACGGCGAGGCACCGAGGACCAACACGAAUGUGAUGUGAAGUACAGCAGCGUGUGAUCAGUUCGUGGGAUCGCUGGAAUAAGUCGCCUGGCUGGUUCAGGUGUACACUGACUGGUGUUUGGGUUCAUCUGGGGCUUAGCUGCUUUAUCGUUCGUGUGUUUGGGGCUUGUGUUCCAGCAGUGUUCGUGUGAGUUCACACGUUUUGUGUGUUCUGUAAAUCAUGUACGAUACGCGUGUGUAUGUACAUGUUUCUGUCUUUGUCUUUUAAGUUCUUCUAAAUUUCGUUUGUAAUCUGUGUGUUCAAAGUUGAAACACUCGAUGUUUCUUCGUAUGUUUUGUUGUGCUUGUUGUUUCCAAAUGAUGUGUGCUCACUCUGAUCAGCUAACGCUGAACUUCUUCAGCAGCAUUGUGCUACCCUAAAUUGGGAAAGUUCAGUUUAGAG